Long non-coding RNA from Homo sapiens (human), 6465 nucleotides. RefSeq lists it as uncharacterized. The record is from RefSeq and is a predicted model, not a curated record. The transcript is spliced from 4 exons. Lineage: Eukaryota; Metazoa; Chordata; Mammalia; Primates; Hominidae.
AACAGAAACCACAACAACCCUGUUAAGGCAGGACUGAGAGCCCAGACUCGUUAGGAAUGAAGGUUUGGGUCACCCCACCUGGCAAGGAACCAUGACCGGCUCAGCAGUGAUGAAGCAACUGCCAUUGUGGAGAGGCCCAUGGGGCCAGGAGCUGAGGAGCUGAGGUCCUCCAGUCCAACAGUCUGCAGGGAGCUGAAUUCUGCCAGAACCAUGUGAGUUAGGAAGCAGAUCCUUCCCCGGUGGUGCUUUCAGGCUCUGAGGACCGGCGGCUGAGAUUAAACAACUUAUUACACAAAGAACCAUUUAAUUGCAAGCACAAUCACGCUUAGUGGAGAAGGAGAGAACGGAGCACGGUUUAAGAUGAUCUCCUCACCAGUUCUGCAAGCUGGGGAAACUGAGGCCCAGAAAAGAGACAUUCCCAGUGUCACGCAGUGCUGGGUUCCAGCUGGGCAGUGCUGGAAUCAAACCCCGGUCAACAGGGAGAGUCAGCUGCAGUUUGUCAGUGGAACAGCCUGAGCCGUGCGGCCGCGUUUCGCCAGAAAAUCACUCCCUGCUCAUCAUAACCGGCACCUCUCCAUGUCGGCCACACGAGGGCAGCAGCGCCCCGGCCAUCGCCGGGCUUCGCACUGAGGCUUCUUCCAUCCCUGCUGAGAACGACUGGGCGGUUGCAGCCAGCAAGGCUCAGAGGAGGAAGGGGCCACGUCGGGGACCUCUAGGGUCUGCGAGGGGCCCAGGCUGUGUCCUGCCCCCUCCGCUGCCUUGGUGCAUGAAAGACUCCACUUCUUCUGUGAAAUGGAGGCUUGUGUCCCCACCCAGGCAGCCCAGGCUCCGGAUAACAUCAAGUGCCUCUGCCAGGCUGGGGUGCGGCGAAUAAUCAAAAGAAGCACGGAACCACUGACCAGGUCCAAGUCUCCAUUUCACAGAAGUGGAGGCUUCAUGGUAUCACUGCCUCCGUGCAGAAGAAAAGGAGACUCCAGAGGCUGACGCAAUUUGCCUGAGGUAGACGCAGAGUCAGACUCAGAGGCCGUAUUGGUUCGUCCCACCGUCUUCCAGAGAGAAUGGGCUGCCUCCUGGAGCCCUGACCCACCCACGACAGCCCCCAGGAUGUCCUACAGCCAGUUGCAAACUCAGUUUGUCCAAAGCCAUUGCCCUUCCCUCUCUGUCUUCUGUCAGUGGGAGGCACCACUGCACAGAGACCCCCAGCCUGAAACCUGGCAUCUCCCAAAACUUCUCUGAGCUCCUUAACCCCACAUCUCCCAUCCAACUCAUCACCAAACUCUGUGGAUUCUCCCCAGGCCCGUUUUUUAAGAUGACAAAAAUUGCCUUGAACUACAUCUGGGCUGUGAUUUCGGAUUGGGACACACACUCUUCAGUUUGCUACAGGCUUCACCGCUCCCUGCUGCAUCCCCAGCUCUGGGGGCCCAGGUCAGCUGCUGUCGAGCACUGGGCUUCACUGAUGUGCUUUUUACAGCGAGGGAGUAUUUCCUUGCCCCAUCAAGUGUGCAGGAAAGAAAGCUGGGCAGAGAAGUCUGCCUAUUUGAAGAAAAAAAAUCAGAAACAAUUUUCUUCAGGUGACAGAAGGCAAUUUUUAAGAAGCAUGCAACCAAAAUGCAUUAUAUGUAAACUGUGUAAUAUCUAAUAUUUUUUACGCUCAGCCCACGUUAUACAUUUUUGCCACCUGUCUGGCCACUGUAGGCUUUGGAGGUUGCAACCCCCAGGUGAUAAUAAUCACAGAAGAGACUUACAGUGAGAUAGCGAGAUGGGGGUGGGUGUGGGCAGAGGGAGAGGAAGAGUCAAGCCAUUUAGAUAACUUGGGUUUCCUCUCCAGGCCCCAAAAAGCAGGAAGGGGGCGCGUAGAGUACUACCUCCUAUCCUAUUUUGUCCAAAGCCAGAUUCAUAAUCAUUGCCACUUCCAUGCACACCCUUCUCAGUUUCCCACCCGAUUCCCAUAGACGGGGCCCCUCCACUAUCUCCUGCCCACAGUAUAAGUCGUAAAGUCUCCCAAACCUCAACCAGGUGAACAAUAGUGCCUGAUGUCACCCAGGUCCUAUUGCAAUGAUUAUGUGUUUUUUCUUUAAGCUGUUAAUGGAAUGAAUUAUAUUAAUUAAUUUCCUAAUAAUAGGAAUUGCAUUCAUAAGAUAAACAUAACUUCAUCAUAAUAUGCUGGGGUUUUUUGUUUUUGUUUUUUUUUUCUUUGAGAUGGAGUCUCACUCUGUAGCCCAGGCUGGAGUGCAGUGGCACGAUCUCGGCUCACUGCAACCUCUGCCUCCAGGGUCCAAGAGAUUCUCCUGCCUCAGUCUCCCAAGUAGCUGGGACUACAGGCGCCUGCCACCACACCUGGCUAAUUUUUUGUAUUUUUAGUAGAGACGGGUUUUACCAUGUUGCCCAGGUGGUCUCAAUCUCCUGAGCUCGGGCAAUUCACCUGCCUCGGCCUCCCAAAGUGCUGGGAUUAUAGGCGUGAGCCACUGCACCCGGCCUGUACUGUAUUUUUUAUUAUUAUUGCUGAAUUCACUGUGCUAAUAAUUUUCAAGAAUUCUUGGAAUCUAUGCUCAUGGGUAAAAUUGACUUGAAAGUUUUCUUUAUUGUACUGUCAUCAUCUGAUUAGCCAGCUUAUGCUAACCGAAUAAGGUAAACUGGUAAGUGUUGACUGUGUUUCUCCACUGUGGAGUAGAAAUUUGGGUAAGCUUGAACUGAUUUGUUCUUUGACUGUUUAGCCAAAUUAGGAUUUGGUUCAUCCCACCAUCUUCCAGAGAGAGCUGGGCUAUUAAUUUGGUGAAUUCCAAAUUCACAUAUCUGGAAUUGUCAUCUGGGACAGACGUUUUCUUUAUAGGAAGAUUUUAAACUACUAAAUUAAUGUAUUAAGUGAUUAUAGGACCUUUCAGGUUUUCUGUUUUUUCUUGAGUCAACUUCAGUAAAUUGUAUUUUUCUAGGAAUUUGGCAAUUUUGUUUAAGACUUCUUAUGUAUUGGCAUACAGUCACUUAUAACAGUCUUGUGAUAUUUAAUAUUAUUCAUUUACUCUAUGAAAAAUCUAGAAUUAUGUCCCUUCUUUCAUCCCUAGUAUUGUUUAUCUGUGCUCUCUCUUAUGUCUUAAACUUGUAAGAGAUUUUUAUAAUUUUUUAGUCCUUUCAAAAAAUAAUAUUUUGUCUUUGAUUCUCUUCCCUACUUAGGUUUGUUUUCCGGUUUUUUUGUUUGUUUGUUUGUUUUUUGUUUUUUUGUGUGAUGGCAUCUCACUCUGUUGCCCAAGCUGGAGUACAGUGGUGUGAUCUCAGCUCACUGCAGCCUCCCAACUCCUGGGUUCAAGUGAUUCUCCUGCCUCAGCCUCCCGAGUAGCUGGGACUACAGGUGCCCACCACCACGCCUGGCUUAUUUUUGUAUUUUUUAGCAGAGACAGGGUUUUGCCAUGUUGGCCAAGCUGGUCUUGAACUCCUGGUCUCAAGUGAUCCACCUGCCUCGGCCUCUCAAAGUGCGGGAUUACAGGUGUAAGCCACCAUUCCCAACCAUUUAGGUUUGUUUUCUACGUCAUUAAUUUCUGUGCUUUUUUUUUAGAUGGAGUCUCGCUCUGUCACCCAGGCUGGAGUGCAGUGGCAUGAUCUCGGCUCACUGCAAGCUCCACCUCCCAGGUUUAUGCCAUUCUCCCGCCUCAGCCUCCUGAGUAGCUGGGACUACAGGUGCACACCACCAUGCCUGGCUAAUUUUUUUGUAUUUUUAGUAGAGACGGGGUUUCACCUGUGUUAACCAGGAUGGUCUCAAUCUCCUGACCUCAUGAUCUGCCCACCUUGGCCUCCCAAACUGCUGGGAUUAUAGACAUGAGCCACCACGCCUGGCCCUAAUUUCUGUUCUUAACAUUUGAUUCCUUUUAAUAUCUUGGGGUUUAUUCUGCUGUUCUUAUUUUAACUUUUAAGUCAGAUGCUUAGUUCGUUCAUUUGAAGCAUUUCUUUUUUCUUCUUCUUUUGUUUUAUUUUUGAGACAGAGUCUUUCUCUUUUGCCCAUGCUGGAGUGCAGUGGCACCAUCUCAGCUCACUGUAACUUUCACCUCCUGGGCUCAAGCAAUCCUCCUGCCUCAGCCUCCAAAGUAACUGGGACUACAGGUGUGCACCACCAUGCCCAGCUAAUUCUUGUAUUUUUUGUAGAGACAUGGUUUUGCCAGGUUGCCCAGGCUGGUCUCGAACUCCUGGGCUCAAGCAAUCCACCCACCUCGGCCUCUCAAAGUUCUGAGAUUACAGACGUGAGCCACCACACCUGGGCCAUGAAGCAUUUCUUAUUUGCCAAUACAAGCAUUUAAGAUUAUAAACACUCCUCUAAAUACUGCUUUGGUUGGAUCUCACAAGUCGUGAUGCAAAACAUUUUUGUGAAUGCUCAAUUCUAAGUAUUUUCUAAUUUUAGUUGUGAUUUCGUUUUUGGACCGCGAGUUGUUUGGAUGUACUGUUUUUCCUAAAGUACAGGCAUUUGCUUGUUGUCUUUUUGGUUAUUAACAUCUAACUUGUUUAGAUUGUGAUCAGAGAAUAUAGUCUGUGUACACAUUGUGGUGGAAGCUAUGACUACAGCACAGCUUCCUCUUCCGGAACGAAGGACUUAGUCCCCCAGCUGCUGCGAGAGCUGCUGGAGGAUGGCCCCCAGCUGUCUGCUCUCUUAGGAAGUUAUGUGGGCUGAGGAAAUUGACUUGCCCAGUCAAGACCAUGCCUCCUUCAAUGAGCAGCCUGCAUGCAAUGGCUGCUCAGGGUGAGAAUGUAAAGGCCUGGUUCCUUACCAACUCACACCCUUCUGAAGGACUACCCAGCUCCAGCACUCUCUGCGGAGCUGGCAGAGGCUUCCGUGGGUAUUGCAUUGCUGCUCCACCUCUCCAUCUGUGCAGACCUGUCUCAUCCCAUGCAUUCCACAAGUGCUGAUCCAAGGAAUGUUCCCAAAUAAAAUUCCUGCACCCCAAUCCCCAUCUCAGAGCCUGACUCCCAGGAGAUCCGACCUACCAGCCUGAUCUUGGACGUGCAUUGAGGUUAGCUUUAUAGUCUAUGAUACUUUCCAAAUGUCCCAUGCAUGCUUGAAAAGAAUGUGUUCUCCCCCAUUUCGGGGUUUCAUAUGCUACAUGUUGAUUAUAUGAAACUUGUCAUUGUGUUCCUCAAAUCUUUGAUUUCUUCACCAAAAUGGCCUAAAAAUAUCCCAUCCUAAAGGUGGAGAUAUCUAUUCUUGUCCCUUCCAUUUUUGCUUUAUAUUUUUUGCAGCUAUGAUGAUAUUAUAUAUAAAUUGAGAACUGGUACAGCUUCCUGGUGAAUUGAGCCUUCCACCAUUAUCUAGUGACUCUGGAUCACUAGAUAAUGGAGUGCAAUGGCACGAUCUCAGCUCACUGCAACCUCCACCCCCUGGGUUCAAGCGAUUCUCUUGCCUAAGCCUCCCGAGUAGCUGGGAUUACAGGUGUGCACCACCACACCUGGCUAAUUUUUUGUCUCUUUAGUAAAGACGGGGUUUCUCCAUGUUUUUUAGGCUGGUCUCGAACUCCCAACCUCAGGUGAUCCACCUGCCUCAAUCUCCCAAAGUGCUGGGAUUACAGACGUGAGCCACUGUGCCCGGCCACAUAUUUUUUCUAUACUUGGACUUUCAACAGUUCUUGGUUCCUAUGUUUGAGGUAUGGGAUUAUGCUCUCUUGUAAACAGAACAUAAUCUCUGUUUUUAAAAUUCAUUCAGACAGUCAUCUUUCAACUAAAGUGUUUAGUCCUUUAAUAUGAAUUACUGACAACAUAAAUGUAGAUUAAUUUCCAUGGUCUCAUAAUGUAUUUUCUAUUCAUUCUAUAUUUCCUACCCUCAGCCCCCUUUCUAAUCUUCCUUUGUAUCAUUUGAGAUUUUUAUCUUCUUUUUCUUAUCCUAUUUUUUCUUUCUAAUUAUUUAGAAGUUAUCAGCUCUAUGACUAGUUUUUAGUGCUUACUCUAGCUAUCUUAACACUGAGCACUUAACAAAGUCUAAACUUAAUAUAUUUGCCUUCUCCCCAAAUAAUGGAAAGACAUUCACAACUUGAAUUUUGAGCAUCCGUCCCAUAUUAUAUGGUAUUGUCCAGUAUUUUAAUACUAGCCCAUUUUUCCUACCAUAAGUUAGGCAUUAUUAUCGUGGAGUCCUAUACUCCGUUGUUGUUUAGUUUUCCAUCAAAUGUUUCCAACAUAUGUGCCCAUUGUUCCUUCUUGUAUGCCUUGCCUUUUCUCUGGAAUAAUUUUGAUUCUGUCUGAACUACAUUACAUUUAAAUGUGUCCUUAGUGAAGAUCUUUUGGAGGUAAAAUCUCACCAUUUCUUUUUGUCUGAAUAUGUCUUCAUUUCACCCUCAGUUCAGUAGGAUAGUAAAGAGUUCUAAGUUGACCGUUGUUUUUUUUCCAGCACAUGAAAGAUAUAAUUCCACUGUCUCCUGGUUUCCAUUGAGGAUAGUGAUACAUCAGCUGUAAAUGAUCCUUUAGAGUUUUUUUGUUUGUUUGCUUGUCUUGUUUUGU